Molecule: ribosomal RNA, 319 nt
Filed under: uncultured eukaryote
Lineage: Eukaryota
Description: partial 18S ribosomal RNA
Rfam family: Eukaryotic small subunit ribosomal RNA
Source: RNAcentral
CCCUUAGAUGUUCUGGGCAGCACGCGCGCUACAAUGGUCUUCGCAAACGGAUGCAUUCUCGAAGGAGAAUGCCAAUCUUGGAAUCUAUGCCUUGGUCGGGACAGUUGCUUGCAAUUUUUCGACUCGAACCAGGAAUUCCUUGUAAUCGUGAUUCAUCACAUCACGAUGAAUACGUCCCUGCCCUUUGUACACACGGCCCGUCGCUCCUACCGAUCGAAGAGUUAGGUGAAUUGUUUUGAUCGAUAAGAUUUGACUAUGGUCAACUCUCGUUGUGAAAUUCUGUGAAUCUGACUGUUUAGAGGAAGGAAAAGUCGUAACA